GCCCGGCCGCGCUUACCCGAAUUUACCGCCAACAGCGCCGCCAUCUUGGAGGAGGACUGAGGGAGCUCUCCUGCCCCAGGGAGGACCCCGGGCCGGUGAGCCUGCCCGUGUCGACGCCUGAACACAAAGGCGCCCCGAGGGCCUCCGAGAACCCCAUGCGAAGCUCGAGCAGGUGUACACAAGUCUCCCCAUCCUGCUCUGACCUAGGGCCAUCGAUUCUAACUGGGACCCUUACCGUUAAAAUAAGGCGGGGGCAACCGGUUCGGAGACUAAUCGUGCAGUGCAUCAUGGGACUCGUAGUUUAUUUCUAGUGAGCCGUGAAAUUAACCAGUCUGAAAAAACGUAAAUCCAUGAAAUAAAAAAAGUUCUCCUUACCUUCA
Molecule: long non-coding RNA, 380 nt
Filed under: Rattus norvegicus (Norway rat)
Lineage: Eukaryota; Metazoa; Chordata; Mammalia; Rodentia; Muridae
Description: long non-coding RNA NONRATT021329
Source: RNAcentral